Molecule: transfer RNA, 92 nt
Filed under: Araneus ventricosus
Lineage: Eukaryota; Metazoa; Arthropoda; Arachnida; Araneae; Araneidae
Rfam family: tRNA
About the family: Transfer RNA (tRNA) molecules are approximately 80 nucleotides in length.
Source: Rfam by way of RNAcentral
UCCCCAGUGGCGCAAUUGGUUAGCGCACGGUACUUAUACGACAGUAUGCGUGAGUAAUGCCGGGGUUGUGAGUUCGAGCCUCACCUGGGGAA